GUGGGGAAUUUUGGACAAUGGGCGCAAGCCUGAUCCAGCAAUGCCGCGUGCAGGACGAAGGCCUUCGGGUUGUAAACUGCUUUUGUACAGAACGAAAAGCCUUGGGUGAAUACCCUGAGGACAUGACGGUACUGUAAGAAUAAGCACCGGCUAACUACGUGCCAGCAGCCGCGGUAAUACGUAGGGUGCGAGCGUUAAUCGGAAUUACUGGGCGUAAAGCGUGCGCAGGCGGUUUUGUAAGACAGAGGUGAAAUCCCCGGGCUCAACCUGGGAACUGCCUUUGUGACUGCAAGGCUGGAGUGCGGCAGAGGGGGAUGGAAUUCCGCGUGUAGCAGUGAAAUGCGUAGAUAUGCGGAGGAACACCGAUGGCGAAGGCAAUCCUCUGGGCCUGCACUGACGCUCAUGCACGAAAGCGUGGGGAGCAAACAGGAUUAGAAACCCGGGUAGUCC
This 450-nucleotide ribosomal RNA is filed under the name uncultured bacterium. RNAcentral's name for it is "partial 16S ribosomal RNA". It matches the Rfam family "Bacterial small subunit ribosomal RNA", at positions 354 to 796 of the family's 1533-position model. The record is from RNAcentral.